GGGUCAGUAGGUUGGUCGUGCCACCGGUACGUACUGGUCUAACUGAUUCCUCCCUCCUGAAGAACCGUAAUGCCAUUAAUUUGGUGUUGCGGGGAAACAGGACUGUUACUUUGAAAAAAUUAGAGUGUUUAAAGCAAGCUAACGCUUGAAUACAUUAGCAUGGAAUAAUGAAAUAGGACGAUCGAUCCUAUUUUGUUGGUUUCUAGGAUUGACGUA
RNAcentral lists this ribosomal RNA (216 nucleotides) under Glomeromycotina sp. RNAcentral's name for it is "partial small subunit ribosomal RNA". The stretch from base 40 to 216 matches the Rfam family "Eukaryotic small subunit ribosomal RNA", at positions 686 to 864 of the family's 1831-position model. The record is from RNAcentral. Lineage: Eukaryota; Fungi; Glomeromycota.